This is a non-coding RNA of Coffea arabica (coffee), 7293 nucleotides long. NCBI's taxonomy places the organism in Eukaryota, Viridiplantae, Streptophyta, Magnoliopsida, Gentianales, Rubiaceae. The record is from RefSeq and is a predicted model, not a curated record.
CCUAAUUAUCAUACGCGGAUCUAACCAAGUAGCCUUAGAAUCCAAAUUCCCUUGUUCUUCUUCUUCAACCCCCCCAAACCCUAACCCUAAAAACUGGAAAUCUCGUCUGAUUUCCAAUUUAGUGUUUAACUGAAGUCGCUUCGUUUCGAAUUUCAGCUAAUGGCGAGCGGCUCCAAUGAACCCACGCGUCGCAAGCACCGCCGCUCUCCUUCUGACGACGAGAACAACGACGCCGAAGCACCUUCGAAACGGCGGAAGCACCGCCACCAUAAACAUCACCGGCAUCAUCGCCACCACCAUCACCACCGCAGCAAGAAGGAGGACAGAGUUGAGGACGCAACAGCUGAAGCUGAAAUCGAGAUGGAAGAGAAUCUAGAAGAGGAACGGAAGAGUAAUGAGAAUGCGGUGGUUGAUGCUGCAACUGGUGGCACAACUAGUGCGGCUGUUAUUUCUGGUUCAGUUUUGGGGAUUGAUUAUGAUAUGGAAGAAGGAGAGAUUGUUGAUGAGGGUGAGGGUGGUGGUGGUGGUUCUCGUAUCGAUGGAGAUGAGGUGAAAAAGGAGAAAGAGCGUGGUUCUGAUGUGGAGUCUGGAGAGAUUGGGGCUGUUCGCGGCGGCCAUUCUGACAAUUCUCACAUGAAGGUGGAUGUAUAUCAAGAGGGGAAGAAUCGUACCUGUUGUUUGCCUUCUGAAGAAGGUAUGAAUGAAGAGGAUGGAAAGAUGGGGGCAUCGAGUGAUUUUAGGAUUGAUGGGGAAGAUGAUGGAUGUUUUGCGAGGAAGAAAUAUAAUGAUUUGGGUCAGAAAAGAACUUCCAGAACUGAACAUAUGUCUAAUGGUGAGUUUGUGCAUGAAUACCGUAAGGAUGAGUUAACUGUUGAAGAACAUAGUUGGAGAAAUGACUACUCUAAUGAAGAAAGUAUUUUGAGGGAGACUAAUGAAUUGUUAGCUGAAGGUGGGCAAAAAAGGGAUUUCUCAAGGUCACCGUCACGGGACAGACACCGUGAAAGGGUUCGAAGUGGGAGCUGUCCAAAGUCACGUGAUCAGUCUCGAGGAAGGUCUAGGUCGCAAAGCAUUUUCCGAGAGGGUUCUUUACUCAAUACACCAAAAACAUAUAACGAUUAUUCACGAAGAAAGAAUAGGAGUGAUUCAGAUGAGGAGCAUGAAUCCAGCAGGGAUUACCAACCUGCCAGCAGAGAAUCAUUUAGGGAUGAAGAAAGGAGUUACAGCAGACACAGUAGUCGGUCAACAAGGCAUCAUAGUCGAGAAAUGCGGGACAGGGAUAGAGAGGGCAGCCGGGAUGUGGACAGAGACAGGACAAGAGACAGAGAGCGAGAGAGGACAAGGGAGAAGGAGCGGGAGAGGGAAAGGGCUAGGGAGCGGGAGAAAGAGAGGGAGAGGGAAAAGGAGAGAGAGAGGCACAGGGACUGGGAGAGGGAGAAGGAGAGGGAAAGGAGGAGGGAGCGGGAUAGAGGGAGCAGCCGAGAUAGAAAUAGGGACAGAAAUAGGGAUAGAGAUAGUCAAAGGUCCUUUAGGAACUCUAAACACAAUCACGCUGAUGAUGGCUAUGGUGAGCAAGAUAGGAUUGAUGAUUACAGGCAUAGGAGGCACGAUGAAGCCGGUCACAAGGAUAGGAUAAGUGUAAGUGAUACUGAAAAAAUUGAUGGUUCUAAGAAGCAUAUGGCUGGAAGGGAAAAUGAGAAGUCUGGAAGAGAUGAAAAUGAACAAGAAGACUACCAAGAAAAAAUUGUGUUGCGACUAGCAGAACAGGAAGAAGAUGACCUUGAAAGAAUUAAAGAGGAAAGUAGGAGGCGAAGCGAAGCUAUACUAGAAAAAUAUAGAAGUCAGAAAUCACAUCAGCACUCCGAAGCUAAAAUAGAAAAUACAGUAAAAGAGCAAGGAGAACAGCCAUUAGUGAUGGUACCAUCUGUUAGUGUUGCUCUCGAAUCUAAUUAUCUUCGAAAUGAGGGCCAAGAUGACUAUGUUGCUGACCCAUCCUUUUCUGUUGGAAAAUCCCCUCCACCAAAUGGGGUUUCUACUAUUGAGAAGCCUUCUGAUACUGGUGGACUCGGAGCCGGUACUCCAAAGAGUGAAAGACCUAAUGAUAUGUUCUCUGAUGAUAUAUUUGGAGAGUCUCCUGCUGGUGUUCGUAAAACGGGUAAGGGUGAUGGUUUAGCAAUUGAAAGGAGUGGCCUACAUGACAAUUGGGAUGAUGCAGAAGGGUACUAUAGCUAUCGGUUUGGAGAAUUACUUGAUGGUCGAUAUGAAAUCAUUGCUGCACAUGGCAAAGGUGUCUUCUCUACAGUAGUUCGUGCUAGGGAUCUUAAGGCCAAAUCUGGUGAUCCUGAAGAAGUAGCGAUAAAAAUCAUUCGCAAUAAUGAGACCAUGUUGAAGGCUGGCAUGGAUGAACUGGUUAUAUUAAAAAAGUUGGCUGGUGCUGACCCUGAGAACAAACGCCAUUGUGUUCGUUUUGUUUCCAGCUUUAAGUAUCGGAAUCAUCUCUGUUUAGUUUUUGAAUCUCUUCAUAUGAAUCUUCGUGAGGUUUUGAAGAAGUUUGGUCGUAAUAUUGGGCUUAAAUUAACUGCUGUAAGGGCAUAUGCAAAGCAGCUCUUCAUUGCACUGAAACAUCUAAAGAAUUGUGGUGUGCUUCAUUGUGAUAUUAAGCCUGAUAAUAUGCUGGUGAAUGAAGCAAAGAAUGUAUUGAAGCUUUGUGACUUUGGCAAUGCCAUGUUUGCUGGUAAAAAUGAAAUUACUCCAUAUCUUGUGAGUCGAUUUUAUCGUGCCCCAGAAAUAAUUCUGGGUCUGCCAUAUGAUCAUCCCAUGGAUAUGUGGUCAGUUGGUUGCUGUUUAUUUGAGAUUUACACUGGAAAAGUUCUUUUUCCUGGUUCUACAAAUAAUGACAUGCUUCGCCUUCAUAUGGAGCUUAAGGGCGCAUUUCCAAAGAAGAUGGUUCGUAAGGGUGGAUUUAAGGACAAGCACUUUGAUCAGGGGCUGAAUUUUCUUGCCACUGAGGAGGACCCUGUCACAAAGAAGGCUGUAAAGAGGCUGAUUCUUAAUGUUAAGCCAAAAGAUUUUGGAACUUUGAUUGUGGGUUCUCCUGGUGAGGAUCCAAAGAUGUUAGCCAACUUUAAAGAUCUUCUUGAUAAGAUAUUCAUGUUGGAUCCUGAUAAAAGAAUCACUGUAUCACAAGCAUUGAGCCAUCCAUUCAUCACUGGCAAGUGAAAUAUUGAUGCUGAUUUGUGACUACCGAAAUGCUGUUGGGCUUGAUAUUUGAAUAUCAUAUGACUGCAUUUAUAUAUUGUUCUCUAAUCAUUGGGCAUUAAUGUCUGUCUUCUUUGUGCUGGCUAUAAGAGCUUUAGAAACGGUGCUUGGCAUGUUGAACGCAAUUGUGGUGAUGUUUGAUUGGAAGACAGCUCGUACUUGGCGCUUCUGUCAGUGGAGUGUUUUCUGUUUCUAUUGGUACCAUCUCUGCUAUGAGGCAACCGUUCAGUGCUUUAGAUGCUUAAAAGUCAACCUGGAGAAGGAAUAUAUGCUUUGGAGGUUAUUGGAUGCUGUUCCAGGUGGAUUUUUUUAGGUUAUGGCAUUGUGAUUGCUGAUAUCCUGUAAGUAUAUUCUUAUUUUUCAUCUCCUUUGUCAUUAGUUGGUUUCUGAUGUCAAGCUAUUUCUGUUUCCAACUAUGUUUUUAACUCCUCCAACCUGUACAUGUGUGAAUUUUUGUAGAUUUAUGCUGUUUAGCAAGCUAUUUCUGAUAGUAAGUUCUUCUUAAUCUAUAUUUUGAUACUUUCCUUUGCCUUGGUCUCUGGCACCUGAGCAGAGUGGGAAUUUUUUCUUUGAAUCUGCUUUUUAUAGAUGGGUUGUUUUUAACUCUUCAUGUUUAUGGGGUAUUAUAGUGGGAUAAAUGUAGACCUGGAGCUGUUAUUAGGCUGAAAGUACAUCCUUGAGGGGAAAGAAUUAGGUCAUGGGAAUUUUGACGUCUAAUUGUUAUAAAUCCUUUUCAAAUCAAUUAUAUUAAGGCAUAAUGUGCAAGUUUUUUCAAGCGAGCGAUUUGUAAUGCUUAUGACUUGCAAGAAAUUUCUAAUAACCUUGUAUCAAGCAUAUUAGAGAGACAUGCGUGAAAUCUUCUUCAGCAAGCAUACAAGUCUGACUUGAUGUGAAUGCAGCAUAGGAUAUACAUUAUCCAAGAUAUGAUAGUCAGCAAAAAAUUAGGUAGAUCAGAGGGAGUAAUGUGGGUUGGUAGGAGUAACAGAGUAGCUUUGUAAGGAAUGGAAAUAGGCUUGGAUGAAAAAAAGAAGCCAAUAAGGGUGUAUAUUGGGCACUUUACAUGUGCCUAUUAAGCCUGAUUACCUGGGCAGUUUUUUGUACUAGGCGAUCGAAGCCUGAUUACAUGUGCAAACCAAUGAGAUGAUCAUUUACUAACAGGUGUUAUCAUAUUUUUCAAAAAAAUAACUGCGUCAAAGAACAAAUCACAGAGUCUAUGAACUGAACUGGUUUUUAGAUAAUCUUUUAGCAACAAAAUAUUUUUUCCAGUCACUUGGCUUUCAGUGCAUAAGCUUGCAGCCUCAGAUUUAGCAUACAUUUGUUCCAUAACAGGCAUUUUGAUGACCUUAGUGGAGUUUGAGCUUUUAAGAUAAGAGCAGUAGGGUAGUGGAACUACUAAAACAUUUUGUAGUGGGAUUCUUGGCAUCCACUUCCAAGUAUACUUGUAAUUUUUUUGGUUGAGCUUCCUUUCUCCUGAGUACUAGAUAACCCACGGGUAUCAGCAUACAUGACGGAUCUUGAUAUGGCAUGGAAAUCUUAAAUUUGACAAAUGUGUACUUGGUAAGUUCAAUUACUUGUGGGUCUGGUGAAUUUCAGAGCGGCAGACAUACUGAGGGUUGAGUCCUCCUUAUUAUAUCUAAUUGUUUUUAGCUUGAUAGUUUUCCGGGGAUGAGGUUACAUGGGAUAAUAUCAUCAACCCUUUUAUUCUGGAAAAUGAGGUUGAGAACUGAAAAAGUGAAUACCCAUGUAUUUGUUGUAGACGAGGUAGGACAGUGGCUACUCUGGUGUUUCUUGCCUUUGAGUAAUACUUAAUAUGGUCAGUGAAAUGCAACAUUCCUUUAGUUCAAUUAGCCUUUUUUUUAAAUGAAGAAGAGAAUGACAGGAGUUGUCAGGUUGUAAUGGAUUUUAGGAACUGAUAUUAGAUUUCAACUGAUAUGAAAUAGAUCACAACUUGUAUGAAUUUGUCAAGGAUGGAGUUUAGGAGUAUUGGUUGCUUCUUUUCUACAUCUGGAUAUUGAUAACUCAGAGAGGAAGCUUUUUGCAAGGAAACACAAGUUAAGCACAGACGACAUGGACAGAAUAAACAGAACAUACCAGCUGGGUCUCUUUUCAGUUUGCUGGCUGUUUGCUCUUGAGAUUAUUUUUGGCGGCUUACGAUAGUUUUUGAUUGCAGUAAGAAAUAAAGGAAGUCUCAGCUGAGUUCAUCUGGUGUGAAUAAAAAAUGUACAAUUUUGUCUUUCUGGCACUUCAUCCCUCUGACCUUCAACUUUUAGGUGCAGAAAUUUGUAAGAAUGCAUGAAUUGCUAUGGCAAGUAAUGUGAUAUUCUUUUGCCUUUGCUGGUGAGAGAUUGGUAUGGUCGGGGAAUUCUUUUGUGCAUUGCCUAGUAACGUGAAGGGUUGUUUUAUAGAAAAAUUGUAGAUGUUAUGUUGGUGUAUUUAGAGUUUUAAAAUUGGUACAUUACGAAAAAGUAAGUACAUAUAGUUUUAAAGUGUUUUUGUCAGCAGUACAUGUAGUUUAUAGUGUUUUUGUGAGCAUGUUGGCAACUCAGCAUCAACGAGAGUGAUCAAGACAUUGCAUUUAUUCAAUCUAAUUAAUACCUGUUUAAGCUAGGUUUUGAUCGAGCAUCUUCUCCAUGCAAGAUUUAGGUUUUGAGUAUCAUAUUCUGCAAGAGUUUGUCCUUGUCAAUUUGCCAGGGUAUCAUCGUCCCCUGGUGAGUGUGUGUCAUUGAGAAGCGAGGAAAGGUAAAUGUUCACUUGCAUAUCAUUAACUAACUAGUAAAAUGGUAUUUGUAACUUACUAACUGGUGGUUACAAUAAUUUUUACGCACAUUUACCAGAGUUAAAAGGUUUUCAUCACAUGCCGCUUCUAUUUCAGCUAUAAUCUGAACACUAUUUAGAGCUGCUCCUACUCCUCCCUGCUGUGGUUGGUGUUGGAUUGGGUUUUGUUAAUAUGGUCUUGCUUUCUUAUACUUCUAUGGAUGCCAUUUACUGGCUAAGUGUUCUGGAUGCAUACAAUUUUCUAGCGCCCCCCCCCCCCCCGGGCGGGUGUCAGGUGUCAUAUGAACCUGUUGUCUAAUUAGAAUGGGUCGGUUAUGCACUGUUGAUAUGUCUUUCUGAAGUCUUUCGUCCUCACUAUUUGUCUGGUUCCCUUUGUUUUGUCUGAGGAAGAUGUUUGAGGGGCUUCAUGCAAAGAUUUUAGCAAUAUAUGUGUGGUUGGUGUGGAUUGAACUUGUCAUCACAUGGAGAGGCUUGAAUUGUUGAUACUAACGGGGCUGAACUAGUUUACUGAUUUUUGGUCAGUCUUCAAAUUUUGGGGUUGUCGUUGCCACUUUGUGUGCUGAAUUAGAAGUGGUUCCAUUUGUCCCGUGAAAUUUGAUGAUAUUUGUAAUAAUGCCGUCUUUUAUGUUGUGCACGCGUAAAAUCCACUGUUUCGGCAGGCUGCUGUUGUUCAGUUGCAAAAGAAAAAAAAAAAAAAUUGCAUGAAUGAAUUUGGUUAAGUGAUGCAAAAUCUCAUCGAGAAUAAUGGGCUCUCUGCACCAAAUAUAAAAUGCCAAUAUCAGUGCGCCGAGCAGGUUGAUUAACUGAGGUUUGUGGCCAGCGCAACUUAAAGGGGCAAUUGAAGUCUAAUAUUCUGCUCGGUAGCAACAGGAGCCUCUCUAUAAAAGCUGAAUGUGAGCUGCUGUUUUCAUGUGGUUUAUUGGAAUGCCAACGUAAAGGUGGCGUCAAACGUGUUUGUUUCAUGCUCUGUGUUAGAGAUGUCUUAUCCACUGGAACUUGUAACGCCUGAGAGGACCUAAUGUUUUGAGUCGGGUUGGUACCCAAUUGCAAAUUGAAAAUUUGAUAUUUUAUCUGAUGUUCUGGUCAUGAAUAGCCGGAUUUCGGGCCGUUGAGCCUUGGAGCUGAAUGAUAUAGAGAAUUGGAACAUGUGUCCGUUUUAAUUCUCAAUCAUAAUAGACUCCAUAGUUGGCUUUACUUUCCUCGUCACUCUUGGCAAUAAGAUAUGGACAUGACUGAUUCAAUUGCCGGCGAGGCUCCUUCCAA